AGCGAACGCUGGCGGCAGGCCUAACACAUGCAAGUCGAGCGCCGUAGCAAUACGGAGCGGCAGACGGGAGAGUAACACGUGGGAACGUACCCUUUGGUUCGGAACAACCCAGGGAAACUUGGGCUAAUACCGGAUAAGCCCUCACGGGGAAAGAUUCAUCGCCGAAGGAUCGGCCCACGUCUGAUUAGCUAGGUGGUGGGGUAAUGGCCCACCAAGGCGACGAUCAGUAACUGGUCCGAGAGGAUGAUCAGCCUCACUGGGCGGGAGACACGGCCCAGACUCCUACGGGAGGCAGCAGUGGGUAACAUUGGACAAUGGGCGCAAGCCUGAUCCAGCCAAGCCGCGUGGGUGAUGAAGGCCCUAGGUUUGUAAAGCCCUUUCGGCGGGGAAGAUAAUGACGGUACCCGCAGAAGAAGCCCCGGCUAACUUCGUGCCAGCCGCCGCAGUAA
RNAcentral lists this ribosomal RNA (449 nucleotides) under uncultured bacterium. RNAcentral's name for it is "partial 16S ribosomal RNA". It matches the Rfam family "Bacterial small subunit ribosomal RNA", at positions 29 to 523 of the family's 1533-position model. The record is from RNAcentral.